RNAcentral lists this ribosomal RNA (286 nucleotides) under uncultured diatom. Its description in RNAcentral is "partial 18S ribosomal RNA". It matches the Rfam family "Eukaryotic small subunit ribosomal RNA", at positions 598 to 888 of the family's 1831-position model. Lineage: Eukaryota; Bacillariophyta. The record is from RNAcentral.
CGCAUAUUAAAGUUGUUACAGUUAAAAAGCUCGUGGUUGGAUUUGUGGCGUAUGGUGUGUUCCGGGCACUUGUUGUCUGAGUAACCUGCUGUUGCCAUCCUUGGGUGGAACCUGUGUGGCAUUAGGUUGUCGUGCAGGGGAUGCCCAUCAUUUACUGUGAAAAAAUUAGAGUGUUCAAAGCAGGCUUAUGCCGUUGAAUAUAUUAGCAUGGAAUAAUGAGAUAGGACUUUUUUACUAUUUUGUUGGUUUGCGUAAAGAGGUAAUGAUUAAUAGGGACAGUUGGGGG